AUGAACGCUGGCGGCGUGCCUAAUACCUGCAAGUCGAGCGAACAGACGAGAGUGCUUGCACUCUCUGACGUUAGCGGCGGACGGGUGAGUAACACGUGGGUAACCUACCUAUAAGACUGGGAUAACUUCGGGAAACCGGAGCUAAUACCGGAUAAUAUUUAGCUUCGCAUGAAGCAAUAGUGAAAGACGGUUCUGCUGUCACUUAUAGAUGGACCCGCGGUGUAUUAGCUAGUUGGUGAGGUAACGGCUCACCGAGGCAACGAUACAUAGCCGACCUGAGAGGGUGAUCGGCCACACUGGGACUGAGACACGGCCCAGACUCCUACGGGAGGCAGCAGUAGGGAAUCUUCCGCAAUGGACGAAAGUCUGACGGAGCAAUGCCGCGUGAGUGAAGAAGGUUUUCGGAUCGUAAAACUCUGUUGUAAGGGAAGAACAAGUACGUUAGUAACUGAACGUACCUUGACGGUACCUUACCAGAAAGCCACGGCUAACUACGUG
Molecule: ribosomal RNA, 498 nt
Filed under: uncultured bacterium
Lineage: Bacteria
Description: partial 16S ribosomal RNA
Rfam family: Bacterial small subunit ribosomal RNA
Source: RNAcentral